ACCUGACCUAGCGGCGGACGGGUGAGUAAUGCUUAGGAAUCUGCCUAUUAGUGGGGGACAACAUCUCGAAAGGGAUGCUAAUACCGCAUACGUCCUACGGGAGAAAGCAGGGGACCUUCGGGCCUUGCGCUAAUAGAUGAGCCUAAGUCGGAUUAGCUAGUUGGUGGGGUAAAGGCCUACCAAGGCGACGAUCUGUAGCGGGUCUGAGAGGAUGAUCCGCCACACUGGGACUGAGACACGGCCCAGACUCCUACGGGAGGCAGCAGUGGGGAAUAUUGGACAAUGGGGGGAACCCUGAUCCAGCCAUGCCGCGUGUGUGAAGAAGGCCUUUUGGUUGUAAAGCACUUUAAGCGAGGAGGAGGCUACCGAGAUUAAUACUCUUGGAUAGUGGACGUUACUCGCAGAAUAAGCACCGGCUAACUCUGUGCCAGCAGCCGCGGUAAUACAGAGGGUGCAAGCGUUAAUCGGAUUUACUGGGCGUAAAGCGCGCGUAGGUGGCCAAUUAAGUCAAAUGUGAAAUCCCCGAGCUUAACUUGGGAAUUGCAUUCGAUACUGGUUGGCUAGAGUAUGGGAGAGGAUGGUAGAAUUCCAGGUGUAGCGGUGAAAUGCGUAGAGAUCUGGAGGAAUACCGAUGGCGAAGGCAGCCAUCUGGCCUAAUACUGACACUGAGGUGCGAAAGCAUGGGGAGCAAACAGGAUUAGAUACCCUGGUAGUCCAUGCCGUAAACGAUGUCUACUAGCCGUUGGGGCCUUUGAGGCUUUAGUGGCGCAGCUAACGCGAUAAGUAGACCGCCUGGGGAGU
RNAcentral lists this ribosomal RNA (801 nucleotides) under uncultured bacterium. RNAcentral describes it as "bacterial SSU rRNA". It matches the Rfam family "Bacterial small subunit ribosomal RNA", at positions 85 to 881 of the family's 1533-position model. The record is from RNAcentral.